CAAACGUUUUCGAAGAGUUGGAUCUCCUGCUGUCCUCCUUCCCGGAGGAUGGUAGGCCACUUGUGGUUCUUGAUGAUUUCAGUAUACACCAAUACAAGACCCAGGGCACUGAACUUCAUGCCCUUCUGACCUCAUUUGACUUGGCAACUCACAGAUUGGGCCAGCACGUACUACACCACACAGCCCCUGGCUCUCUGACGUCCUUCAUGAACAUCGGACUGACCUCAGGGCAGCUGAGAGGAGAUGGCAGAAAUCUAAAGAUCCAGCAGAUGUAGACCACAUCUCAAAGACUGCAAGAUCAUGUAGAUUUACACUCUACAAUAUCAGGACGAUAAGACCCUUCCUCUCUGAACAUGCCAUACAACUUUUUGUUCAGUCACUUGUCAUAACUAGACUGGACUACUGUAACACUCUCAUUGUGGGCCUCCCUGCAUGUGCAAUUAGACCCCUGCAAAUGAUCCAGAAUGCAGCAGCAUGCUUGGUCUUUAAUGAACCAAAGAGAGCGCAUGUUACACCACUCCUUGUCUCUCUUCACUGGCUGCCGAUUGAUGCACAUAUCAGAUUCAAGGCUCUGAUGCUGGCAUAUACAGAACAGUCACUGGGUCUGCUCCAGCAUACCUAAAAUCAUUUCUGCAGAGCUACACACCCACUAGAAGCCUGCGGUCGGCUAAGGAACGUCGCCUUAUUGUACCAACACAAAGAGGCACCAAACACUUUCCCGGACAUUCGGCUUCAUCGUACCACAUUGGUGGAAUGACCUUCCCAACUCCAUCCAUGAAGCUGAAGCUUCUGUCUUCAAAAAAUUCUUGUUGCACUUUAAUCUGUUUUGAAUACUACUUUGUAAUAUGGCACUUUUUCGUACCACUUUCUCCUUAAGAUGAUUCGCCUAUGUGUUCCGCUUUGGAUAAAAGCAUCUGCCAAAUGAAUAAAUGUAAAUGUAAAUGUGUACGUAUGUGUGUGUAAACUGAAAAGUUUUGAAAGUUUUUGCACAUAGUCCAUUUUCAUGAUAUAAAAUUAGGUAAAAUCUACUUUCAUACAAUAAUAUUGAUAAAGUGAAUGAGUAACUUUAACUUUUCAUUUCAGUUAGUACAGUAGCUUUUACUC
Molecule: long non-coding RNA, 1104 nt
Organism: Myxocyprinus asiaticus (Chinese sucker)
Lineage: Eukaryota; Metazoa; Chordata; Actinopteri; Cypriniformes; Catostomidae
Exons: 3
Source: RefSeq, a predicted model, not a curated record